This 263-nucleotide ribosomal RNA is filed under the name uncultured bacterium. Its description in RNAcentral is "partial 16S ribosomal RNA". It matches the Rfam family "Bacterial small subunit ribosomal RNA", at positions 220 to 491 of the family's 1533-position model. The record is from RNAcentral.
AUAGGGUUGGCCGAUGGCUGAUUAGCUAGUUGGUGGGGUAAAGGCCUACCAAGGCGACGAUCAGUAGCUGGUCUGAGAGGACGACCAGCCACACUGGGACUGAGACACGGCCCAGACUCCUACGGGAGGCAGCAGUGGGGAAUUUUGGACAAUGGGCGAAAGCCUGAUCCAGCAAUGCCGCGUGUGUGAAGAAGGCCUUCGGUUGUAAAGCACUUUCUCUGGGAGAAAGUUGUGAAAGCAACCUGACGGUACAGUCGUGGAGG